Molecule: ribosomal RNA, 460 nt
Filed under: uncultured bacterium
Lineage: Bacteria
Description: partial 16S ribosomal RNA
Rfam family: Bacterial small subunit ribosomal RNA
Source: RNAcentral
CCUACGGGCGGCUGCAGUGAGGAAUAUUGGUCAAUGGGCGCGAGCCUGAACCAGCCAAGUAGCGUGAAGGAUGACUGCCCUACGGGUUGUAAACUUCUUUUAUAAAGGAAUAAAGUGAGGCACGUGUGUCUUUUUGUAUGUACUUUAUGAAUAAGGAUCGGCUAACUCCGUGCCAGCAGCCGCGGUAAUACGGAGGAUCCGAGCGUUAUCCGGAUUUAUUGGGUUUAAAGGGAGCGUAGAUGGGUUGUUAAGUCAGUUGUGAAAGUUUGCGGCUCAACCGUAAAAUUGCAAUUGAUACUGGUAGCCUUGAGUACAGUUGAGGUAGGCGUAAUUCGUGGUGUAGCGGUGAAAUGCUUAGAUAUCACGAAGAACUCCGAUUGCGAAGGCAGCUUACUAAGCUGCCACUGACAUUGAGGCUCGAAAGUGUGGGGAUCAAACAGGAUUAGAUACCCGUGUAGUC